Molecule: long non-coding RNA, 289 nt
Organism: Myotis daubentonii (Daubenton's bat)
Lineage: Eukaryota; Metazoa; Chordata; Mammalia; Chiroptera; Vespertilionidae
Source: RefSeq, a predicted model, not a curated record
GCCUGUAUUAUCUUAUUUAAUCAUCAUACUUAUGAGAUAUUACUAUUAUCAUUCCCUUUUCAUAGGGGAGUUAAGAUAAAGGCCUGUCAAGAAUAUACAUCUAGCCGGAACCGGAAACUCUGAAACAGCUCUCCUUUCUAAUCAUUGGUGAUACCACCACCUGCCCGGGAAUACCUCAAACAGGUAAACAUACACUGAUGGGCUUGACAGUGGAGAAAAUGAAAAGUUCAAAAUUCCCUAGGAAAAAACUUUUUAUUUUUUUUAUUUUUAAUUUUUUUAAAGACCAGAA